Molecule: long non-coding RNA, 4253 nt
Organism: Salarias fasciatus (jewelled blenny)
Lineage: Eukaryota; Metazoa; Chordata; Actinopteri; Blenniiformes; Blenniidae
Exons: 3
Source: RefSeq, a predicted model, not a curated record
CAGAUAUCCAAAAUACGCUGAUCAAUGUGUGAUUUUUUUUUCUCACAGAAAUGUAGCAUGAACUUGAUGUCAAAAGCAUUUUUCUCAUCCUGGUUAAAUUAAAAUCACGGGUAGCGCCUUUAUGGUUUAGCUACCUUUAAAACAAAUUAGCUUAAAGUUUAACUAGCUCUAAAAUCAACUACUUCAAGUUUAGUUAGCUUUAACAUAAACAAUCUUCAAGUUUAGCGAGCUGUAAAAUAAAUAGCUUAAAAUUUAGCUAGCUGUAAAAUAAUCUAGCUUCAAGUUUAACUAGCUUUAAUAAUAACUAGCUUAAAGUUUAGGUAACUUUAAUAUAAACUAGCUUAAAGUUUAGCUAGCUGUAAAACAAACUAGCUUAAAGUUUAGCUAGCUUCAAAAUAACUACGUUAAAGUGUAGCUAGCUGUAAAAUAAACUAGCUUAAAGUUUAGCUAGCUUUAAAAUAAACUAGUUUAAAGUUUAGCUAGCUUUAAUAUAAACUAGCUUAAAGUUUAGCUAGCUACAAAAUAAACUAGCUCAAAGUUUAGCUAGCUGUAAAAUAAACUCGCUUAAAAUUUAGCUAGCUUCAAGUUUAGCUUGCUUUAAAAUAACUAUCUUAAAGCUUAGCUAGCUGUAACAUAAAUAGCUUAAAUUUUAGCUAGCUGCAAAAUAAACUAGCUUAAAGUUAAGCUAGCUUUAAUAUAAACUAGCUUAAAGUUUAGCUAGCUGUAAAAUAAACUAGCUUAAAGUUUAGCUAGCGUUAAUAUAAACUAGCUUAAAGUUUAGCCAGCUGUAAAAUAACCUAGCUUAAAGUUUAGCUAGCUUUAAAAUAACUAGCUUAAAGUUUACCUAGCUCUAAAAUAAGCUCGCUUAAAGUUUAGCUAACUGUAAAGUGAAUUAGCUUAAAGUUUAGCUAGCUUCAAAAUAAGUAGCUUAAAGUUUAGCUAGCUUUAAUAUGAACUAGUUUAAGUUUAGCUAGCUGUAAAAUAACCUAGCUUAAAGUUUAGCUAGCUUUAAAAUAACUAGCUUAAAGUUUACCUAGCUCUAAAAUAAGCUUGCUUAAAGUUUAGCUAGAUUUAAAUUAAACUAGCUUACAAUUUAGCUAGCUUUAACAUAAACUAGCUUAAAGUUUAGCUAGCUUUUAAAAUGAAUUAGCUUAAAGUGUAGCUAGCUGUAAAAUAAACUCGCUUAAAGUUUCACUAGCUUAAAAAAAACUAGCAUAAAGUUUAGCUAGCUUUCAAAUGAAUUAGCUUAAAGUGUAGCUAGAUUUAAAUUAAACUAGCUUACAAUUUAGCUAGCUGUAAAAUAAACUAGCUUAAAGUUUAGCUAGCUUCAAAAUAACUAGCUUAAAGUUUAACUGGCUGUAAAAUAAACUAGCUUAAAGUUUAGCUAGCUUUAAUAUAAACUAGAUUAAAGUUUAGCUAGCUGCAAAAUAACUAGCUUAAAGUUUAACUGGCUGUAAAAUAAACUAGCUUAAAGUUUAGCUAGCUUUAAUAUAAACUAGAUUAAAGUUUAGCCAGCUGCAAAAUAAACUAGCUUAAGGUUUAGCUAGCUUCAAAAUACCUAGCUUAAAGUUUAGCUAGCUUUAACAUAAACUAGCUUAAAGUUUAGCUAGCUGUAAAAUCAACUAGCUUAAAGUUUAGCUAGCUGUAAAAUCAACUAGCUUAAAGUUUAGCUAGCUUCAAAAUAACUAGCUUAAAGUUUAUCUGGCUGUAAAAUAAACUAGCUUAAAGUUUAGCUAGCUUUAAUAUAAACUAGAUUAAAGUUUAGCCAGCUGCAAAAUAAACUAGCUUAAGGUUUAGCUAGCUUCAAAAUACCUAGCUUAAAGUUUAGCUAGCUUUAACAUAAACUAGCUUAAAGUUUAGCUAGCUGUAAAAUCAACUAGCUUAAAGUUUAGCUAGCUGUAAAAUCAACUAGCUUAAAGUUUAGCUAGCUGUAAAAUAAACUUGCUUAAAGUUUAGCUAGCUGUAAAAUAAACUAGCUUAAGGUUUAGCUAGCUUCACAAUACCUAGCUUAAAGUUUAGCUAGCUUUAACAUAAACUAGCUUAAAGUUUAGCUAGCUGUAAAAUAAACUAGCUUAAAGUUUAGCUAGCUGUAAAAUACACUAGCUUAAAGUUUAGCUAGCUUUUUAAAAAUCUGUUGUUAUGGUCUAACGUUGAGUUGUUACAUAAAGAUUUUAACCAUGAGGCGAUGAGUCACAGCAGUACGAUAAUAAAAUGGAAAUCUAAAAAAAAAAAUAAUUAGGAAAUGAAUUUUGUAAAUAUAUAAACGAAUAAUAGCAACUAUUAAAUUUGUAAAAAAAAAAAAAAAAUGAGGGAACAAAAUUGUGAAAAGCAAUAGAAAUAAGUAAAAGAGUCAGUAAACAUAAAUCUGGUAAAUAUAAACAUAAAUAAAUUAACUUUGUCUUCGCUUUUCCGUGUUGCUUUUGUUGAUGUACUGAGCUGUCAAUCAAAUGCCUGUGGGCGGGGCUUCCUGUGCAGGGUGAGUAGUAGAUCCCUGAUAGCAGGAUUGCUGCUUGGCGUUCGCUCCCUGCUGAGAGGAGCUCAGCUCUCAGUCUGAGGCUCUGAUGAGACUCUGAGCAGGAUCUGUCAGUCUGGACUCUGGGGCCAGACGCAGAGGACGACGUGACGGGCUGGAGGAGCAACACACACACACACACACACACACACACACACACACACACACACACACACACACACACCCCUCACUGCGGUCAAGCCAGCCACACGUUGCUUAGCGGUGUGCAGAUACACUGAGCAUUACAGUAACACCAUCAGACUCGGUCCAGCAGGACGAGCUCAUGAAAAAUAUUGGUUUUACUGCACUUUAAAUUCAGCUGAAUAUUUGUUGUUGUUGUUUUUUUAAUAUCUCUCAGGGAUUUUGACCAUAAAUUAGUGUAAAAGUACCCAGGAAUUAAUCUUCACAGUAUUUGUUCCUGUAGUAUUUGACACAGUCAGUCCAGGAGUAAUAUUUGGGUGUUUUCCUCCCGGGUGAUUUGACCUGUAGUCUCUGAAUCUCUGGUGUAUCACAGGGCUGCAGUGGCAGGUUCACACACCUCCCUGUGUGUUAACCAUCAUCAUUAUCAAUAUUUCUAUUUCUACCAACAUUACAGAGCAUCAGUAUUGAUGAAGCAUCCACUGGUUUACUUCCUGUUCAGUUUCCUCUCUUCAGCAGUGCUGUAGAUCUGUGGUCUGUUACUUUAUUUAAAUGAAGUCAGUUGUCUUCGGUGCUGCUUGACUUUUAUUUUGAAAUCUUUGAAGUCUUCAUGGUGUUACCGUCAUGCUCAGUGUGUUUGCACACCGCUGAUCAAGGUGCGGCUGGCUUGACUGCGUGUUCAGAAGUGUAGUCUGGCUGGACCGCAGUGACAGUCACACUCCAGCCUGUUAUCAGAGAAUGUCCUGAUAUAAUUCUGUUUUUAAAUCUUAUUGCUGUUACUUGUCAGCAUGAUGGACAGACUGCAGCAGGUGAUGGAGAGAGAGGCGUGAGCUGAGAGAGAGAUGAAUUCUAAAGACACUCAGGUUGAAAUGUUCCUCUGGUUCUUAUUGAGCGUAUUGAUCAGUGAUCCUGAGGGUUUCUGAGUUUCCUGUUCAGAGUCUCAUCAGAGCCUCAGACUGAGAGCUGAGCUCCUCUCAGCAGGGAGCGAACGCCACGCAGGAAUCCUGCUAUCAGGGAUCUACUACUCACCCUGCACAGGAAGCCCCGCCCACAGGCAGUUGAUUGACAGAUCAGUCCAUCAAUCAAAGCAAAAGCAACACGGAAAAACCAGAGAACAAGAGAAGGGAAAAUGGAACAACGGAGACAAAAUGAACGUACUUUAUUUCUUCAUUUUUCUUUAUUUUUACACUUAUUUCCUUUUUUUAAACAGAUUUAAUUUGACUUAUUCUUUUACUUCUCUUUAUAUUUAAACAUUGUUCCUGUAUUUUUUCAGAGAUUCAUUUAUUGAUGUAUUUCUUCCUGUUUAUAUUUCCACAUGUAUUUCCUUAUUUCUCAGCAGCUUUAUUGUAUUUUAGUUCUGUUGUGACGCAACAGCAGCUCCGUCCUGAGCGGCCUGAGCUCCACGGAGUGAGUUAAAACAGGACCAGCUCAGUCUGGAGCUGUUAGUGAACAAUGCUUCUAGUUUGUUGGUUUUCAACACAGAAAGUGUGUGUGUGUGUGUGUGUGUGUGUGUGUGUGUGUGUGUGUGUGUGUGUGUGUGUGUGUGUGUGUGUGUGUGUGUGUGUGUGUGUCUGUGUGUGUGUGUCUGUGUGUGUGUGUCUGU